Molecule: transfer RNA, 87 nt
Filed under: Magnetococcales bacterium
Lineage: Bacteria; Pseudomonadati; Pseudomonadota; Magnetococcia; Magnetococcales
Description: tRNA-Leu
Rfam family: tRNA
About the family: Transfer RNA (tRNA) molecules are approximately 80 nucleotides in length. Their secondary structure includes four short double-helical elements and three loops (D, anti-codon, and T loops).
Source: RNAcentral
GCCCAGGUGGCGGAAUUGGUAGACGCGCUAGCUUCAGGUGCUAGUUAUCGCAAGGUAGUGGAAGUUCGAGUCUUCUCCUGGGCACCA